AACGUAGGAGGCAAGCGUUAUCCGGAUUUACUGGGCGUAAAGCGCGUGCAGGCGGCUUGGCAAGUUGGAUGUGAAAGCUCCCGGCUCAACUGGGAGAGGUCGUUCAAUACUGCUAAGCUAGAGGGUGGUAGAGGGAGGUGGAAUUCCGGGUGUAGUGGUGAAAUGCGUAGAUAUCCGGAGGAACACCAGUGGCGAAAGCGGCCUUCUGGACCAUGCCUGACGCUCAGACGCGAAAGCUAGGGUAGCAAACGGG
RNAcentral lists this ribosomal RNA (253 nucleotides) under uncultured Bellilinea sp. Its description in RNAcentral is "partial 16S ribosomal RNA". It matches the Rfam family "Bacterial small subunit ribosomal RNA", at positions 524 to 776 of the family's 1533-position model. The record is from RNAcentral. Lineage: Bacteria; Bacillati; Chloroflexota; Anaerolineae; Anaerolineales; Anaerolineaceae.